This 1614-nucleotide long non-coding RNA is filed under the name Anas zonorhyncha (Eastern spot-billed duck). RNAcentral's name for it is "lncRNA (ENSAZOG00000015956.1)". The record is from RNAcentral. Lineage: Eukaryota; Metazoa; Chordata; Aves; Anseriformes; Anatidae.
AGUCAAACAAUCGCCUUUUACCAUUUGUGUUUUAGCAGCAAGUAAAAGCCUGAACUAGAUUAGGGCCCCUUUCACUCCCGCUGUAUAAACAAAUUGCUGGGCGAGAUAAUGCUAAUAGCUGCAGCUGAAUGGGGCUUUGCUCUGCGGGCAACUGUGGGCUCAGUUAAAGCCAAUGGGCUAUGUGGGAGAAGCAGCUCAGUGAACUGGAAGAAGUGGGGUGGUUGGAAAACACAGAAACUGAAAAUACUGAAACCCCUGGGACAAAGAGCACUGAGAAACAGGGUUGUGCUCCUUGAGCACAUUGCAGAUGACGGAGGUUGGAUGAAGCCAGGUCUGGCUGAUGACGUUCCCAUCUUGUUACCCUGACACCGAGCAGCCCAGCAGACGGAUCUGGACGGGAAGGAAGGCCGGCGUCGGAAGUCCAGUGCUGGAAACCCGACAAGUAAUGAGAGCUGGAAGGGAGUCCAGUUCCUCCGGUGAUCCCAAGCAUUGCAGCAGCCAAGUUUAAGUCUUUCUGAGGAGUGUGCCUAAACUAACCCUAUGUGUUCCUCCACGGCAGCCCCUCCUACACAUACUAGGAUGCAUCAGGGCACUCCAGCCCUGGUCCAGAUGUCCCCGUCUCACAAAGGAGGCACCUCUCACUUGACUGUGUCAUGCCUUGCAAAAAUCAUAGCUAAUGGGGGCUGGCAACCUCUUUUCUAGCCCCUCCUGAGCAAUCCACCCCUUCUUCAGCAUUGAGGGAGCCUUGCCUUUAAAGCCAGCAGCCAGCAAUCAUUUCUCACUGACGCUGGCGGGGUAAUGAAGAUGUUUAGAAUGCCUGAAGAUCUCCAUAAUCUGGAGGUUGCAUUAUGGCUUAUUUUCAAAACUAUGAAAGCAUUGUUUCCCUUUUCCUAGUCUGAAGCUCUCCAGGUUUUUACGCACAUCACAGUGUUUAAAAAUAAAAUGAGUGCGUCGCUGUUUGCCAGCAAGCGCUUUAUGGAGUCAGUCUUUCAAAGCAGGAGCCUACUUGUGCGUACAUGAAAGAAGUAUGUGUGCGAAAUCUGCAUGUGCACCUACCUGAGUCACAUGUCAGCGAGGCGAACUGAGAAAAUGUUCCCACAGCUGGGGAGUGAUGGGGCAGGCUGUAAACGAGCACGUUUCCAUUUGGCAUGUACAGCCCUGGCACAAGGGAGCACAGACGCGGGUGCCAGGAAGCAUUCAGGUUUUGUGUGCACACAGAUCUGGGGCUAGCUCUUGCUCCUGUGAAAAUAACUUUAAAAGGGGCAGUAUCAAGCCCAGAAACAUAAAAAUGUUUGCCUUGGCUUUGAGCAAUUUUGUGAAAGAACUAAAACCAACAAACUAAAAAUAAAGGUUCGUAACUACAGUGUUGACACUGUAGCAAAGCAGAGGUUUUCCUUUCUUCAUGUCCUGCACUUGCUCUGCAGAUCUCCAUCCAUGCAUUAGCUUAUUAACACUUUUUGCUCCAAGUUUCUUUCAUUCCGUCACUUUGCAGUUUCUUAAUUUAGUUGUUACAUCUUGCAUACCAAUCUCCCCCUACUCCUAAAGCUGAGCCCGAGAUGUUUUAAAUGCCAGGAUCAGAGGUUUGCAUUGCAGUUAGUUCAUGAACGUGUAAUA